Molecule: non-coding RNA, 1490 nt
Organism: Pelobates cultripes (western spadefoot toad)
Lineage: Eukaryota; Metazoa; Chordata; Amphibia; Anura; Pelobatidae
Source: the annotation of a GenBank genome assembly
UGUACAUACCGGUACCAUAAAUAAAUAAGCCCUACCCUGAAAAUAAGCCCUAGUGUGUUUUUUGGGACUAAAAUUAAUAUAAGACCCGGUCUUAUUUUCGGAGAAACACGGUAGGAAAACACACCUUGGGUUAGAGGCAAAGGGAUGGCUGGGAGAGUUGACACUUAAAUAAAAUAACAGGAUAGACAACACUUUGGGCCUUGGGAAAGUAAAUCACAUUUACAUAUCAAUUGAGCUGAGGAAUUUGCUAUUUACAACAUGGGAACCAAUUCCUUUAAAAGUAGAAGAUACUGACAUCACAUUAGGUUAGGUUUUGGUAAGACACACAAGCUGCCCAUAAUAUGCACAGCACAUACACAAUGUAGCCAAUAUUAUACACAAUGUAGCAGAUAGUAUUAGAUAGAUGGAAUGUAUGAGUGUUAUGAAUGUAUUGUAACUGUAAUACUAUAACUCUGUAACAUUCUUCUUCUAUAAUAUUUAAUUGGGCAGAUUCUAAGUAAAUAUUUCUCUCUGGUAAGAACUAUGGUGUUGGCUGUUUAUUUGUAAUAUUGGGUAGAAUACCUUAGUAGUGCUAGUCAUAUAUUUAUCUGGACAAGGGGAUAAAGAUAUAUGUUAGUUCUUGGAAGAGGUUACACAGGGAUAUUACAUUCACUAUUAAAACACAACGCAGAGUGGAUUUCUCUCAAAAGGAUACCAAUUGGAAGUAUUGGUGGUGAGAGAAGGAUUAUACAACAAUUAGAUGCAUUGAAAGGAAGUGUUUAGGAAGGCUGUGCAAAUUACAUGCAGGGGAUGUGACUAAGGCUGCACAAAUACAUGAUUUAACUAUUAAAUGGCAAAUAAUUUAGCAGUUAGACUGAAGGGGCAUGAUCUAUACAUCAAAACUGUUUAAGCUAAAGUUGUCUUGGUGACUAUAAUGUCCCUUUAAAGUGGAUCUGUCACUGUUUAGGUACUUUUUAUACUCUUCAUACCCCAACUGUUACAUUGCCACUGGGAGUCUGUUGGCUGGUGGUGGGUGGACAAAGGUGACUUUUACUUAUGUGCUUCGUGGGUGCCGCCAUUAUCUUUGUUUCGGUCAUCUUCUGUUCCUUGCACCUCAGCUGCCAGGUGCUAACAUCAAUGAUGUACUCUUUGCACAUGUGAGAUUACACCCGAGAGGUCUAUGUAGGAGACCUCAGGAAAGUGACAAGGAAUGACGGCGUUGGCAUCACCCAGGGUCAAGCACUGUCAACAGUAACAAAAAUAGUCACUAUUUUGUUUCAGUAUAUCUUUUGACUGGGUUGGAAUUUCACAAUGCACUUGAGUAUUUUAUAAAGAUUAUAUCUUUAUGAAAUACUCAUUAUCCCAGGGUUGGGUGACAGUGCAGCUUUAAUUUCAUUAAAAUUUAAACACACACACACAUGAAGCAGGUAGUGGUAAAAUAAUUAUUAUUAGAGACACUCCACUCAAUUCAAAAGAGAGAAACAGUGUUAAAGUGCAAUGGUAAAAGAGGC